UCUAUUAAGCCACUCGAUAUAUUCAGGCGUCGUUGAUGGACCUACUGCCAACCUCUUCAAUCGGCGAGUCUGCCUCCAAGCAUUAGUCAUUUCUCGUAUCUUCUUCUUGUAACCAUCACACUUAUACGAGAAUUCACACUGAGCUAAUCCAUGGGUUGUUGGUACGAACUGCCUUGACCUAUACUGUCUCAGUACCAAUAACGGUGCAUAGCCAAUAGCCCCCCAAAUCCCAAGUAAAGGGACCCAGUCAAAAUCUCCACACCUAUAUAAGAUCUCAUCUGACAGCAUCCAAUGAGCUCUCCAUUCAAUAUCCCCCUCUUGAAGAUUCUGAAGAGUUGCCAUCCAUUUUUCCUCUGAGA
Molecule: long non-coding RNA, 359 nt
Filed under: Gossypium barbadense (sea-island cotton)
Lineage: Eukaryota; Viridiplantae; Streptophyta; Magnoliopsida; Malvales; Malvaceae
Description: long non-coding RNA (GBAR_LNC022048)
Source: RNAcentral